CUUUUGUCCUUUUAGGGCUGCACCUCGGCAUAUGGAGGCUUCCAGGCUAGGGAUCAAAUUGGAGCUACAGCUGCCAGCCUAAACCAGAGCCACAGCAAUGAGGGAUCCAAGCCGCAUCUGUGACCUACACCACAGCUCACGGCAACAGCGGAUCCUUAACCCACUGAGCAAGGCCACGGAUCAAACCUGCAACCUCAUGGUUCCUAGUCAGAUUGAUUAACCACUGAGCCAUGAUGGGAACUCCCAAGAAUACAAAGAAAGCUAUCCCUACAGAAGACCCCUCUAGGGGGUUCUUAUUAAGAUUAGGUUUGGAAAAAAAGCUCACGAAAAAUUUCCAGGCUGAUUCAGAGACAUGAAGUGUGUGUUUGUGACCCAUCGACAGAGCUUUUUUUUUUGUUUGUUUGUUUGUCUUUUUGUCUUUUCUAGGGCCGCUCCUGCGGCAUAUGGAAGUUCCUAGGCUAGGGGUCAAAUCAGAGCUGUGGCUGCCAGCCUCCACCAGAGCCACAGCAACUUGGGAUCUAAGCUGUGUCUGCGACCUACACCACAGUCCAUGGCAACGCCGGAUCCCACUGAGCGAGGUCAGGGAUCGAACCCGCAACCUUGUGGUUCCUAGCCGGAUUCGGAUUCGUUACUCCUGCGCCACGCCACGCCACGCCACGCCACGCCGGCACUCCCGAGACACUUUUUUUUUAAAAGGAUAUGUUUAAAUUCUUAAAGUAAUAAAAAUGAAAACAAAAUAAUUUGGACACGGAUUCUGAUCACUGUGAAGAGGUCAUAUGUCAUGAUUACCAUAGUUACACUGUUAUGUAAUAACAGGCAAGUUGUUGAGACCAAAUCCUAAAGAGUUCUUAUCACAAGGAUAAUUUUUUUCUUUUCUCUUUUUAAGAUGGACCUGAAACUACUGUGGUGGUAAUCAUUUCACAAUAUAUCUAAAUCAAACCAUUAUGCCUUAAACUUAUACAGUGGUAUAUGACAAUUAUUUCUCAAUAAAGCUGGGAGAAAGUUUACAAAACAUUCACUUUUCUUCUUUUGCUCUUAACAUUUUAUGUCAAAACUAUACACUAAGAAGAAUAAUCUAAAAUCCUUGCCUCAUAAACUCCCAGUAUAAUAAGAGCUAUCAAAUGAUCAUCUUUAAAAUAUACUAGAGAGUGAGUUUUCAUGAUACUGAGAUUUAGAUAACAGAGUCAGUACUGGUCUUUAAAUGAAUGCUUCUACCAAGACUUAAAAACUCAACAGAGUUGUGUUUGAGAUGCAUGCACUGACCAGAGCACAGAAUAUAUACAUAAAAGACCUACUUGUCAGAUGAAAGCUAACAAGCACAUGAAUGAAGUACUAACUUAAUUUUUGCAUUAUCUAACACUGCAGCUACAUAGUGCCUUUGAGCACUUAAAAUGUGUCAACAGAUUUUACUUUGAUUUAAAUCUAAAAUUUUGUAUAAAGCAUUUUUUCAUUAAGUACAACUUUGUUAUGAUAGCACAAUUCAAUUUAACCACUGAAAACUCAGCAUCCAAAUUAAGAUGGAAUGACUGGUAAGUGUAAAACACACUCUGGAUUUUGAAAACUUAGUACCUCUAAAAAUGUAAGCUACAUUGUGGAACUGGAUAUUGAUAAGAUACUCUUGGUUACACCAUGUAAAAUAAAAUAUUACUAAAAUCAAUUCCACCUAUCACUUUUUAACUUUUUUAAUGUGAAUGUUAGAAGCCUGUGGCUCACAUUAUAUUUAUAUUGGAUACCAUCAUUAUAGUUGCUUCAUAAGUUUAAAAGGGACCCAACAGGAAACAAAUCAGAAACAAUAAUAGGUCUAUAAAACUAUAAAGACGUCCUUACAUUUAGAAAUCCCCUUCAAGAACACUAUUACCUAUGGCUACAUCUGAGGUGAGUUUUUAGAGGAGGAUGAAGCUGAACUCAUCUAAGACCUUCACUUUUCAUUUCAUGAAGUUUUAAGAAAUUAGUUUUUCAAAAAUAAGUAUGUAGUUACAUUAAUGGUUUUAAAUCUAUAAGAAACCAAUCAAUAGCAGGAAAUACAAAUUAUAGCUACCUGUAGAAAAGUCUCUAAAAGUUUAGAGCCUUUAAAAAUGAUUUCCUAAGACCACUCAAGGCAAUGAUAUAUUAAUAGCUCUUUAUCAAUGACUGCUCGUUCAGUGGAGAUUACAACUAGUUUAUGGUUUGCUUCUGGUGUAGGAUACAUUUAGUCUUUUAAAAGUGCCAUUUUCUGGCAGUAUUUCAUUGUUCCUCUCAAUAUUAUACUAUAUAGAUCACCCAUAAACAAUGAGACAAAAAGGAGAAGGUUUUAGGCAAUUUUCUAAGUGGUAUUCAUUGUGGACAUAUUUUUAACACCUGAUAUAAAGCUAAAUUAGCAGCCGAAAGCUAAAAACCAUCCCAGCCACUUGAAUAUAUGAAAUGCUGUUGAAAUGUCUAUUUGUAGGGUAGGAUUUGGUAGGAUGGGCGAAGACAGACAGGGGUGGGCUGGCCUAAGCUGCUGCUUGUGGGCCACAUACCCUGGCUAUGCCACUGCAGGUACUAUAACAAAAUGAAAACGUGUUUAUGCGAAGGUCCAGUUAUGGGAUUACCUAAUCGCUGCCAACAUGUUAGUUUUGGCAUAUAGGGUUUAGCAGCUUACUGAGAAGCUUUACGCUGAAGGGGACAAGGCAAUAUGGAGCAAGCACUGUGAAGUGGAGACCAUCUAUAAUUAUCCAGUGUGGAAAAGAGUCCUGGUCAAGCAUACCUAAGUCUCACUGAUAUCAUUUCAUAUAUAUCAUGUGUCACUCACACUCCUCUACAAGCACAGAGUACAUAUGUACAAGCACAAAUGGUCUGAAAUUAUUUUGGGACCCCCAAAUGCUACAUGACUGAUAAUUAAGGCCUCUACAAAUAAUGCUUCCAUAUGCUGCAGGUAU
This 2897-nucleotide long non-coding RNA is filed under the name Sus scrofa (pig). Its description in RNAcentral is "lncRNA (ENSSSCG00000054089.1)". Lineage: Eukaryota; Metazoa; Chordata; Mammalia; Artiodactyla; Suidae. The record is from RNAcentral.